GAUGAACGCUGGCGGCGUGCCUAAUACAUGCAAGUCGAGCGAACGGACGAGAAGCUUGCUUUUCUGAUGUUAGCGGCGGACGGGUGAGUAACACGUGGAUAACCUACCUAUAAGACUGGGAUAACUUCGGGAAACCGGGGCUAAUACCGGAUAAUAUUUUGAACCGCAUGGUUCAAAAGUGAAAGACGGUCUUGCUGUCACUUAUAGAUGGAUCCGCGCUGCAUUAGCUAGUUGGUAAGGUAACGGCUUACCAAGGCAACGAUGCAUAGCCGACCUGAGAGGGUGAUCGGCCACACUGGAACUGAGACACGGUCCAGACUCCUACGGGAGGCAGCAGUAGGGAAUCUUCCGCAAUGGGCGAAAGCCUGACGGAGCAACGCCGCGUGAGUGAUGAAGGUCUUCGGAUCGUAAAACUCUGUUAUUAGGGAAGAACAUAUGUGUAAGUAACUGUGCACAUCUUGACGGUACCUAAUCAGAAAGCCACGGCUAACUACGCG
This 497-nucleotide ribosomal RNA is filed under the name uncultured bacterium. Its description in RNAcentral is "partial 16S ribosomal RNA". It matches the Rfam family "Bacterial small subunit ribosomal RNA", at positions 28 to 507 of the family's 1533-position model. The record is from RNAcentral.